RNAcentral lists this ribosomal RNA (300 nucleotides) under uncultured Dietzia sp. Its description in RNAcentral is "bacterial SSU rRNA". It matches the Rfam family "Bacterial small subunit ribosomal RNA", at positions 496 to 795 of the family's 1533-position model. The record is from RNAcentral. Lineage: Bacteria; Bacillati; Actinomycetota; Actinomycetes; Mycobacteriales; Dietziaceae.
GUGACUACUGUGCUGUGCGGCGCUGUAAGGCGGAGGGGGCGAAGGGUAUGCGGAAUUACUGUGCUGAGAGGGGUCGUAGGGGGAUGUGUCAGGUAGCCGUGACAGCCCCGGGGUCAACCUGUGAGCGGCGGUUGGGAGGGCCCGUCUCGGGUGUGCUAGAGGAUCGUGGAAUUCCGGGGGUAGCAGUGAAAUGCGUAGAGAUGUGGAGGAACACCAAUGGCGAAGGCAGCCCCCUGGGUCGAUACUGACGCUCAUGCACGAAAGCGUGGGUAGCAAACAGGAUUAGAUACCCUGGUAGUC